This 253-nucleotide ribosomal RNA is filed under the name uncultured bacterium. Its description in RNAcentral is "partial 16S ribosomal RNA". It matches the Rfam family "Bacterial small subunit ribosomal RNA", at positions 524 to 776 of the family's 1533-position model. The record is from RNAcentral.
UACGGGGGGGGCAAGCGUUGUUCGGAAUUACUGGGCGUAAAGGGCGCGUAGGCGGCCUGCUAAGUCAUACGUGAAAUCCCUCGGCUCAACCGAGGAACUGCGUCUGAUACUGGUUGGCUUGAAUUCGGGAGAGGGAUGCGGAAUUCCAGGUGUAGCGGUGAAAUGCGUAGAUAUCUGGAGGAACACCGGUGGCGAAGGCGGCAUCCUGGACCGAGAUUGACGCUGAUGCGCGAAAGCCAGGGGAGCAAACGGG